Molecule: long non-coding RNA, 922 nt
Organism: Anopheles merus
Lineage: Eukaryota; Metazoa; Arthropoda; Insecta; Diptera; Culicidae
Exons: 3
Source: RefSeq, a predicted model, not a curated record
CGGUGUGGUGCCUGUGUCCUGUACGCUCGUGCGUUACGGCCCAACGGUGUACGUGCGGGAACGACGUUUCGUGAAUGUGUAUUGAAACGUGUAGUUGCCGUGUGUGUGUGCAGAGGAAGCUGUGUAGAGGAAGGCUCUCGUCUCGUAGCGUGGUAGUGUGUCUUCCUUACGUGUACACGCCGGGAUUCAGCGGUUUUUCUUGUAAGGAUGUACGAUACUGUGAUCAUCGCGUGUGUGUUCAUGUUUACAGCAGUUCGGUGAUAGGAAGGGGAAAGCUUUGAGGUAUCUUUUCCAUGAAUAUAUUUUUGUGUUUGUGUGUGUAUAGUGUGUCACUGUAGGGUGUGUUCUGUGCAAACGCUUGUUUGCAAACGUGUCUUUCUCCAUCCCGAGCAAAAGGCAACCAAUCGCCCUGAAAAUGUCUCGCGUAUCGCGCGUGUCAGUGUGAUAGUGAAACAGUGUUCUGAAGGCGCAGUUUUGUCGAGGGGGGAGGUUUGUCGGCGUAAUAAAAGUGCGGCCGUUAUUUGUGCAAAAUUUGGCCCAAUAUCUUCCAACCUUCGCCCGCACAAAAAAAAAAGCCGGCACCUCCGGUAAAAGGCAAAGAGUGAAGCUAGCGCUGUGCUACAAAAGAAAGCAAGGUGCGGUGUGUUUAAAGUUUUGUCGCUUUUUGCGUGUUUUAUCGCGUAUCGUGUUUCAGCGUUUUACGGCGUGAAAAGUGUACAACCAAAAGCAAAAGAGAGUGUGUGUGUAUAUGCUGAUCCUACCCCGGCGGUUGGAUUAUGCACCGUGGGAUAAUGAAGAAACAAAAUUAACGGUUCCACUAACAGGCUGGCGAACCGACCGACACCAUCGACCGCAGCCCGGGACGCGAUGCUGGGCAAGCUGAAAAUGGCGGACAAGCAGAAGUACUCGGCACAGGAGACGA